AUACGGAGGGUGCAAGCGUUGUUCGGAAUCACUGGGCGUAAAGGGCGCGCAGGCGGUUUGGUAAGUCAGAUGUGAAAGCCCAUGGCUCAACCAUGGAAGUGCAUUUGAAACUGUCAGACUUGAGUACUAGAGGGGAAAGUGGAAUUCCCGGUGUAGAGGUGAAAUUCGUAGAUAUCGGGAGGAAUACCGGUGGCGAAGGCGACUUUCUGGCUAGAUACUGACGCUGAGGCGCGAAAGCGUGGGGAGCAAACAGGAUUAGAUACCCGAGUAGUCC
RNAcentral lists this ribosomal RNA (274 nucleotides) under uncultured bacterium. RNAcentral describes it as "partial 16S ribosomal RNA". It matches the Rfam family "Bacterial small subunit ribosomal RNA", at positions 523 to 796 of the family's 1533-position model. The record is from RNAcentral.